RNAcentral lists this long non-coding RNA (10081 nucleotides) under Musa acuminata (dwarf banana). RNAcentral's name for it is "long non-coding RNA (MACU_LNC003335)". The record is from RNAcentral. Lineage: Eukaryota; Viridiplantae; Streptophyta; Magnoliopsida; Zingiberales; Musaceae.
GACAAUGGUUACUUGACUUCGCCCGCCUCCUCAAGGGUUGUACUCCAUGCAUCGAGCUGGUUACUGACCUUCGCCUGCUCUUUGCUCAUACUUCUGAAGCACUCGAAGUGUUUGCACUCCUUGCAUUGAGUUAGUUACUGUGAUUCACCUUCUCAAUGCCAUCGAACUUCUGGAAUGUAGGAAGUUUUCACCCCAACUUAGAGUAAUUCUCUAAUAGAUUUAGUCGCCUAUGGGAUUGUACUGUCUUCUCCAUCAACCCUAUCGCAUACUCCACCGAGUAGCAAAGGUAUAGCACCGCGUACUGUUUGCUUCGUUCCUUGGUCGUGCACUCUUGCAUGACUCGAAGUCCUUCACUUUUGGCUAUCUUGAUGAGAAGCUCGUUGACACCGGUCUUAUGAAGUUCCUUGACCUCUGCCCUUCAGCCUUGCCUCGGUACUUGGAGUUUGCCUCUGCAUGCUCUACCUCCUCGGCCCCUUUCACGAUCAAGUGCUCUCCCUCCAUGAGAGCAAGGGAUCAAUGACUUUCACAGAAGUCCCACCUCUGUGGUACCAUGGCGUUGCCAUGCCCAUGGCCCUACUAUCCGUCGCCUCGCAUCUGCAUCCCUUUUCUUCACGAUCAGUAGAUAUGUCUCUGUGACACUCCUCCGAGUCCACCUCCAUUUUAACUGAUGCUUGAUUUUGUGUAGCUAAGUCCCUCUAGACUCGUCGUCGCUUCCUCACCCUUUCAACCCCUUGCUUCAACACCUUUGUGUUCUCCAAGCAUCUCCCUUUGGUUGAUAGAAAGAUAGAGUACAACUCUCAUGCAUGGCCUCUACCAUCACGUUGUAGGGUUUGCACCGAUUCUGUUCUCCUUAGCUUCCUUGUUUGCAACGUUCGCUUACUCGACCUUGUCCUUUGACUUGUCGGGCUCCCUUAAGCGAAUAUGGCUCUGGAGCAGUCCAACUCUCCAACUGCUUCGAUCAUACCUCUGUAUGAUCAANNNNNNNNNNNNNNNNNNNNAAAUCCAUAGCCCUUCUUGCCAUUAUAUUGUUCACCGAAGUGGAGCUCCUAGUAGCUCCCGAUCAUACCUUCGUAUGAUUUAAUCCUUCACGGGACUAUAUUCGUGUGUAUCGCAUUGCCAUGAAUUGUUCCACCACGAUCCGCUGCACUAUGUCGCCUCCUGGUGACAUCUCUAUUGCAUUCUGAUCCUUGUGGGAUGAACUCGAAUUGUGAUCCCUCCAUGUGUGGCCUCUGCCAAUACAUGGCAGGGUCUCUUCCACCUUCGAUUUUGUUCGCUCCUUUGGCAAUCGACCUUCAUCCACCCACUCUUGGGUCAUACCUAGAUGAAGCACCGCUCUAGGACAGUCCGUCGCCUAGUAGCUCCCGAAGUCCACCGACUUCGCUGAAAAUGGUACGCCGUUGUCUGGAUCCUGGGCCUCUGCCCCUACCAGCACAAUCUCCGCUAUGCACCGCUUCCUUCAUGGCAACUUGAAUGGCAACACUAUGACAUAUUCUUCAAGAGUACCCGCCUCCGCAUCCUCUUGCCCCGUGCCAAGACUUUCUGAACCCAACUUCACCUUUGCAAGUUGAAUCGCCUUAGUUCCUCCAUCAAAUGCUUCUCCAAGAUAAGGUGCAUGUGCCCAAAAGCUCCCUUCUUCUUUUGGCACCAUAUAAGAUGAGUCUACUCCGUCAAAAUGAAGGACUCAUAAAACAACAUGAUCCUGCUCUUGCCUCUACAAGAGUUCAUGUCCUUGACCUCUGUUCAAAGAAAGCUCUGUGCCUCCGCUCCAUGUUCCAUCUUCUAUGUCGGCUCACUUCAUACGGCUUAGGUACUUCGCCAAGUUACACCCAAGUUGCUCCGCUCCUCGUUUUGCAUUGAGUUGAUGGUGGCCCUCGUGUCUACCAUUCCACGGGUCAGCCUUCCUUUGAGUCCGAUUUCCUUAUCGACUCCAAGUGUGCCUUCAUUUGUGUUGCUUUGGGUCACUCCCCCACUUGAUCUCAUAAUGUAUCCACCAAUGCAUUCUCUCAAGCGAGAUCAUGCGACGACUCCUCACCGCUCGCUCGGUCCAUCGAGCUUCGUGGAGUUGUUGUUUUUGUUUUUGAGGUACUCCUCAACAUGUGUGGUCCGUCGCACAUGAUUCUCCCUUUGAAGAGCCGAGACUUAUCCCUCCUGGAUAUCUGUCCCGUUGGAGCAACAUCUCUUUUCAUUUUAGAGACCACCAACCCCUUGGACUACUCCGAUUUGCUAAACAAACUGUGCAUUGUUCUGCCUCCUGCAAAUGCACUUGCUAGAUUGCGACUCCACGUUAAUACAGCUCCCGCUGCACCACUUAAGGCCUAGCAACAUAUUGAACUCACUGCACACUUCAGCCUCCUACGGACGUAUCCUUCACAUACCGAAAAGAAAGUUUCAAUGCUCCAUGAUACUGAGUUUCGAUCGCCUUGGGCUAGUCACGAACAUUCCAUCGUCCGCAUACAAGCCCUUGCAUGAGUACCAAAUUCUUCAAGUUAGCAAUUCCCCUCACCUCUGUGAGCUUUGCACAACUCUUUCGGUCGCUGAGCAACUCAUUCAACCUUAUAUGGUCUCAUCCUUUACCAAGCGCCUCGCUUACCUUGAGCACCAUCGAGUAUAAUUGUCAACGUCGAGCCGUAGCUCGAACUCAGCUAUUCCAACCUUUGUGCGCUCCGCAUUCUUCCAAGCUUGCUUGUUCUCGUGGUGCCUCUUGCGCGAAGGGUUGGUCAUUCCUCUUAAUGCCAAUCUCAGAUGCCCGCUCCUCCGAGCGACUCCUUUUCCCUGCAUCUCCAUGCCUGUUUUCUCCCAAACGGUCGUGCGUGUGCUGACUGCCCUCAACGCAACACUGCUAGGUCCCCCACAUUUGCAUACCAACUGUUUCAAUGAGUACUUGUCCCGCUCUGACACCAUCUGUCACGGACUUAGCUGAUUUUGCCUAUAAGUCGUGCAGCACCGUUGCGUGUCCGUCCGCAAAGGUCAGCCUCCCCGAAACCUCCAAUGAUCCCUUAGGACCUACAAAAGAGAAAACGGGUUAGAGAAAGCGUCUCACUCGGGAUCUACAAACAAAUAUUCUAGGAAAUACUUCAUAGAUGAUGUAAAUUAAAAACAGACUUUACAAACUCUGAACAGUUGCACAACAAAGGGUCAAAAUGGUCCACUACAGACCGAAUAUCUCUCACAAGUGUCCACAUGACACAACCUUUUUUUACAAGCCUAAGAAGGCCACCAAACUCAACUAAAAUGGGGCUGUUAAGGCUUUAACCGUUCCUUUACAUGCUGUGCAUAGCAUGAACAAGCAGAAAGAAACGGACAUACAUAAGUAUUACAUUAAACAUCCUGUUUAGAACUUUGUCCGUGACAGCAAGCUAUAAUCUCGUGUAGGGAGUUCUAUUCUUUACUUGAACCAUUCUGGAUUCGGAUUCUAACAUAGCAUUCCUUUCUUCCCGAAUGAUGACAUGGUCUUGAGCUCACCUGUGCCAUUAUGGUUAUUAUAGUCUGGUUGCUUUGCUCAUAGACUGUAAGGUACAUUAAUUCGCUCUAUGUAGAGAAAUAGGUUAACAUUGUUAUAGCUGUAUACCAGUUGCUGCCAUUUAUGCCUUCUCUCUCUAUGGAACAUUAAUUCACUUAUGGUUCUUCUGUCAUUUAUGGCUUCUAUCUCUACAUCUCUUUCACUCUCUUAACUCUAAACAAAUACAUUAUAUGGCCCUCACGAAAGAUCAUCACUAUCGCAAUCAACAAAAUGAAUAAACAUAUUAUUUCGUAAGUGGUCCACCACCAUGGGUUCUGUGUCACUUUUUUAUGCAUUCUUGCAUCAAUAUUGGUGGUGGUGGAUGGGAGGGCGAUAUGUAGUUUGGUGCUGUAGGUGGUAUCAAUGGGACAAUUAGAAAGAGGAGAGAAGAAGAUGAAGGGUAUUUUUGUCUUUACAUGGUUUUUUUAUUUUCAACUAAUCGAGUCAGGUAGCAAAUAUGCACAAGGCCGAAUGCCUUGUAAUCUAUGACUAGGAAAGUGACAAUAUAAGAAAAAUCCUUAAUAUUUUUAUGAGUUAAUUUGAUAUGGUUAGGUGUGUUUACAAGUUAUGUAUGCUUAGUGUUUUCAGGUGAUGAUACAGGAUUCUAAGCAAUUAAUAUUGGCUAACAUUCUGAAUCUUCCUAAUCCUAAACCUUUACCGUGUAGAAAUUUUAUCAUGACACAAUACCAGAUGAAUUCAAGUUCUUUCACAUGGUUUAUGACAUUCAAAUGAGGCUUUGAUUCAUCUUGAAGUCAUCUUCUGAUGUAACAAUCCAGUUUACCCGAGCAAAAAAAAAAAAAGAUGUCUAAUGGAAUGUCUCUAAUACACUUUUUGAACUAUAAAUGUUGCUUGGAAAGAUAUCACAAACUAGGUAACUGAACUUUUUGAACUAUUGGUUUGUUCACUACAUGUAAAAUAUUCAUAAGUUGUUUACAUCAUAUUAACAUCUUGUAAUGAGGUACUUUGUUCAUGAUAAUAUUUUUUGGUGGAUACAGAGGUAUUGACUAUGCACUCUCAGUCAAUGAUAUUCCUGGAAUUGCCAAUCGUCUUCCUUCAUUAAUAAUACAGGUAAUAAGCAUAAAAGUAUUCUUUAGUAUGCAAGAAAACAUUCUACCUUCUCAUACAUGUUAUAAUUUGUAGUGUUGUAAGAAAGUGAUGAGAUGAAAUACACUUGCCAAUCAUAAUGUAAUGUUAACAUUAAUUUAUAAUGACUUGGCAAGACCGGAUGGAUGUUGCUUAUAGUUGCUUAUUCUUGUUCUCUUCUGUUAAAUACAAGUCAAUGGUUGGUUGUUUAACAAUUAAAAUCUGGAUAAGCUCUUUAAAUCUAUGAGAUUUUUCUGUGAACUUUGUGCUAGGAGAAAUGAUGCACAUUGAAUAAUUCUAGAAUUAAAACAAGGUAUUCUAUGGAUGUUCUCAGUCAUCAAUAUUACAUUCAAAACAGAGAUUUCUGCUACUCAUUAUGAUGAUGAGCAACAUUUCCAGUACUUGAGUAAUUGUAAAAAAAAAAUGGUAUAAAUGAAGUUAUACUCUAUCUUAGUGAAUUGAAAUUGUGCUUGAAAAUUUUAUGGAGGUUUGGAAGAUUGGAAUUAGGUUUAAGAUUGUCUGGGUGCAAACAGUUAGAACUGAUGAUUGAUCAUUUUAGACUCACAAAAUCAAGAUUGAUCAAGAAAAACAAAAAAUCAAAAUAUAUAAAAAAAAUAUAAAAAAAAUAUAAAAAAGAAAAAUACUAGGAAACAUAUAAAAUUUUUUUAGCUAUAGAUUCUAUUUUUCAUAGUCCUUAUAAAAUCUCAUUUUUCAAAAAUAUGUAUGGAAUUAAAGCAUACAGAUACCAAUGCAUGAGGUUUCCAUCAUACUAGGUUUGUGAAGGAUCUAUCUAGUCUUUUCUUGCAAGCAAAUGAGUUACAACGCCCGGAAGAAUCAGUUCAAGCAGUUCUACCAUUGCAAGCAGAAAAGCUAUUUCUAAAAUUUGAAUCCUAGUCUUUUAGGUCAUAGAAGAGCAACUCUUUCAUGGCACCAACCUAACUCAUGUAUGGAACUAAAAUAUAAAAGAUAAAAAGUUAUGAAUGAUAGCAAUAAAUGUCAUAUCAUACAAAUAUGUUAUCAUGAUAAAUAACUAUUACAAACCUCAAAACUUGUUAGCCGUCUUUUUUUAAUAUAAUUGAUGGCCCCCAUUAUGGUCCUAUAGCUUUGAUAACAUUAUAUAUGUGAAGUAUUGGGUAAUUUAAAGACAAACUAAUAAAAAAAGAUUCUUUUUGAAAAUAUUGCCCUUGAUUUGAAACCUAGGACACCUCCUUUGUCCUUUUAAUGGUAUUUCAUUUGAUUAAGAGAUCAUGAGCAAUUCUUUGUCCUCUGCCUUUUUCUCGUUAUUUCUCCUUUGUCUUAUGAGGUGGUGAUGGAUAACUAACAUCACAACAAUGGUGGCAGAUAACAAGUGUGGGGGUUGCAAAUUUGCAAUGAUAGUGAAUAUAGUAGUACAUGCAUUACCUCCAUUUAACUGUCAUCAGCAAUGGUACUUUUUUCUUUUCCUUCUUCAUCUCCUUUUCCCCUUAUUACUGCCAUCUAUGGUGAUCUUUGACCUCCUUAGGCUUCUCCUCUCUUCUUCUAUUAAAGUCAUUAAAUAAGAGGGAGAUGCUAAAUUGUAACCAACUUUGGUCAAGUUCAAUAGUGUUUAGCGGAUUAAUAUUGAUACUUGAUGAUAAGACCGAGAAAUUGGUUUAAUUUGGUCUGGCCUAAGACAAUAUCAUUACAGUAUCAUACGAUGUUGCAAACAGUGGUUUUUAAUAUAUUCCACUUAAUGUCUUAGAGCAUAUAGAUUAUUGCUUAAACAGUGUCACAGUUAGUACUAGUUCAGUAGUUUUCCUUUCUCAAAGCUGGUUACACCCAUCCAACAAGAGAAGGGUAUGGUAUAUUUGCAACUAUGAGUUUGUUGAAAAGUUAAACCAAUGUACAAGGACAGGUGCAGAAUUUGAUUUUACGGAAAACUGGAAACUUUAUAGACUGCUUGAGCAAUAUUAUGAGUGUGAAACUUUUUCAGUAUGCUAGCUUCUUAAUUAACUUGUUAAGUAUCUACAAGUUUGAUAUUUCUUAGUAGGUUCAAGAAUUGUUCAGGAAUGGUGGUAACACUUUUAUGUUUGGUACGAUUUUAACUUUCAAUGAGAAAUGAUAGUUGUGGGUUUUGGACUUACUGAUGGAAUAUUCUUAUUAUUUUCUAUAUAAUAAAAUUGACUAUUUUAGAGAAGGGAUUUACUUGCCGAGGCACUCAUCCAUGCUAAUACACCAUCAGCUGGUACAUGGUAUGCAGAAUGUGCUGUGGCAUGGGUUUACCCCAGAUAUAUAUUUGGGCAUGUACUUGUCACAUUCCAGUCAGCAAGGUCAGCAACUAGUGGCAAUGUGUGUUGUUAAGUAAAUUCUCCACAUUUGGGCUAAUUUGAAUUUAUAUUUGUAGUCUUCAUAUGUACUAUCUUAAAGGUUCACCACUGUGAAAUAAACAUAACACUAUCAAUCUACUAUAAGGAUGCAAUAUGUAUAGAAAACUUGUUAAGUUGUUGCAUGCUAUUUUUGUUAGUGACAGAUCUUGAGAAGGAUAGUACUUUUUUUAUUGGUGACUAUUGGUUCCUAAUGAUUGACCAAAUUAUUAAGAGUACAAUUCUAUUUUGACCAUUGACUAUCACUGCCCAAAACGGUACAAAACGGGUGGUACAUGGAUUUGUACAUGAACCACCCUCGUUUCAGGCAAUCCUGUCCAACUUAGGAAAUUAAAAAAAAACAUAAAAAUAGUGAUGAGGCCUGUCCAACUCAGCAUUAAAAAAAACCUAAAAUAGAAAUAAGGGCUCGCGAAUGUGAACCCUCUUCUCACAAGGCCAUCGCCACUAUCAUCGCUUCGUGAUGCCGUUGUCAUAGUCACCGCGUUCCUUCUUCUUCCCAGGUACACUCCCACCUCCUCUUCCUUCUUCUUUCUUCUCGUCCUCCACUUCUUCCUUUUUUUUCUUACUUCCUCUUCUUGCACAUCCAUGCUUCCUCCUCUUCCUCCGCCUGCCCUUCCUCUCUGAAAUGCCACUAUGUACUAGUGUACUGGCACACGAUGCACCGGUACUAACUAGUAUGCUGGUUCGACUAGAUAAUCGAAACGGGUCUGGUACUCGAAACAGCGAUCCUUGAUUUUGACUGUUUUAUUUUCAUUUAUUAGGCAUUAUAUUAUUGAUAUUUGACUUUGCUUUUCAUACUUGAUUGAAAUUUUCUUACCUUCUGACUUUAUUUCUAUGUAUCAAAUAUUGUCUUGUGGUUAUCUUUCCUGCUUUUAUUUCUAGCUGUCUUUAUCAACUGAACUUUCUUUUUUGCAAGAGUUCGAUAGCUCAUAUAUUUUCACUAUUGUGUUAUAUAGGUCUAUCAACGUCGGAAUGAUCCUCUACUCCGACCAGCUAUUAUGGUGCUAAUGAUAUCUGCCAAGGUAAUUUGUUCUACAGAUUUGUUUUUUCUUCAGCAAUGAGAAUUCAAAAAUCACAAUCAAUUUGGUUUUAGGUAAUAUAGUUGUUUUUGAUUUGCAGCUAUGUAUACAAAAAGCAUGAGAAUGGCAUAAUCAAUCUGAUUAUUGUUUGUUAUUGUACUUAUAUAUGUCCUCUUAUUUGUUCCUGUAGCUUCAUAUCAAGGAGUUUCCAUUCUGAAUUUCUUCAUUUGAUAUGUAUAGUUCUUUAGCUACUUAAAAAUGAUUUUCUCUAUGAUACUUAACUAGUCACUGAGUCACUGACUGAGUUGGAGUCACCAUCUACAUUAUGGCCCUGCAUGUUCUCUUGGCUACCGAACAUUUCUCAUUUAAUAUGUUAGUUUUACUUUUUAUAAGUACUGCUCCAUUUAUUAUGCAUAUUAGUUAUCUUAUUAAUCUUGUUUUUUUAAUCUUACUUGAUAAUCAAUUGAGUUGGACUCAAGAUCUAGUUUUAUAGCUUGCUUAUGUCAAGAUAGCUCAAAGUUUCAAUGAUGGACAUUGUUAACAACAAGGUAUGCAAUAUCGUACUGUAUCGGAGUUUCGACGUUCGCUCGGUACGGUACGAUAUUGUAUACAGAGCGGUGUAUCGUUCAGUAUACUGCUCAAUAUAUAAAUAUAAAUAUAAAUAAAUAAAUAAAUAUAUAUAUAUAUAUAUAUGUAUAUAUAUAUAUAUAUAUAUAUAUAUAUAUGUAUGUAUGUAUAUGUAUGUAUAUAUAUAUACAUAUAUAUAUCGUUCCGUCUGGUAACGGGCGGUUCGUGUACCGGUCAACUGACGGAUCGGUACGUACCGCCCGUACCGGGCUGUCACAGACUUAGCUGGUUUUGCCUAAAUUGUGCGGCACCCUUGCGUGUCCGUCCGCAAAGGUCAGCCUCCCUGAAACCUCCCAUGGUCCCUUAGGACCUACAAAAGAGAAAACAUGUUAGAGAAAGCGCCUCACUCGGGACCCACAAGCAAACAUUUCAGGAAACACUUUAUAGACAAUGCAAAUUACAAACAGACUUUACAAGCUCUGAACGAUUGUACAACAAAGGGUCAAAAUGGUUCACUAUAGAUCGAAUAUCUCUCACAAGUGUCCACAUAACAUAACCUUUAUUUACAAGCCUAAGAAGGCUACCAAACCCAACUAAAAUGGGGUUGUUAAGCCUUCUACCAUCCCUCUACAUGCUGUGCAAAGCAUGAACAAACCGAAAGACACAGACAUACAUGAGUAUUACAUUAAACAUCCUGUUUAGAACUUUGUUCGUGACAUUCUCCCCCCACUUAUUCCUUCAACGUCCUUGUCGAAGCCUUUGCUGACACUGCAACUCCUCGCCUUUGUUGAGUCUUCAAUAUUCUGCUCCAGCUGCAAUGCACCUCUUAGCUCCCAACUGCUCUCCGCUGCUGUUUUUGAGUAGUCGAACCUUUGAUCCGCUAUGUUGCUUCAACUCGCCAAUGACUCUGACUCUAGUGUGGGGUUGGCUGAGUUGUGCUUAUCCCUGUUGCUUCCUGCAAAUCCAUCAGAUGAAGGAAAAGACCAUCCUUACUAUGCGUUAGUCUCUCAAAUGCCUCGUGCUGCUUGAAUUGGGUAGAUGCUUGUUAGAGCUUUAACGAGCAUUACCUUGGAAACUUCUGAAGUUUUGGGUCCUUCCUCCACAAAAUUUGUCUAUUGACUCUUCUUCCACUUAGUUGUCACUUGCAAGUAGAUUUGCAUCACUUCCGCUUUCGAUUGACAUUCUAUUAGGAAAUGAAGUGGAUAAUCUACUCUCUGUAGCACUGAUCACCAUUGGUGAGGAUUUGACAACUAUUGUCUUCUAAUAUCUUCGAAGGGUCUUUGAACCUGUGCAGAGCUCCUCUGCUUGAUAGAUAAGAGAAUUGAGGUACUCGGUUUCGUCCAUUCUCUUAAGAGUUGAGAAGGCAAUGGUUACUUGACUUCGCUCGCCUCCUGAAGAGUUGUACUCCAUGCAUCGAGUUGGUUACUGACCUUCGCCUGCUCUUUGCUUACACUUUUGAAACACUCGAAGUGUUUGCACUUCUUGCAUUGAGUUAGCUAUUGUGAUUCACCUUCUCAAUGCCAUCGAACUUCUGGAAUGCAAGAAGUUUUCACCCCAACUUGGAGUAAGUC